RNAcentral lists this non-coding RNA (30 nucleotides) under Homo sapiens (human). Lineage: Eukaryota; Metazoa; Chordata; Mammalia; Primates; Hominidae. The record is from RNAcentral.
CCCAGAGAGAUCAGAGAAUAUUGCUAUUGU